Paramuricea clavata is the source of this 468-nucleotide non-coding RNA. The record is from the annotation of a GenBank genome assembly. NCBI's taxonomy places the organism in Eukaryota, Metazoa, Cnidaria, Anthozoa, Malacalcyonacea, Plexauridae.
GCGAAAACCAAAACCGGAACUUCAAAAAUCUUGUAGUUUGCCGGAAGUAAACUUAAUAAAAAUGCUGACUCUGCAUCUUUUUUUGCAAGGAGUGAACUUUAAGAAUUUCUCGAAAGAAAUAAUGUUUUACAUGCAAGAUAAACAUUAAUUCGUUCUGGUUAUUUCACCAUUAAAUGUUUUAAUGAUUGACCAAAUCAGAAAACUAAAGGAUCAUCUAAAUGUUUCAAUUAUGAAAGCUGUUCAAGUUGAUGAAUCGAAGGAUACAAAUAUGUGUAGUUUGGGAGAGUCAUUGUAUACGGACAGCAAUCAAUUUGAAUUUUUAUUAUAAUCGACGAAAUAUACAGACAAUUUAAAAGCGAUUGUUGUGGACGAAGCCCAAUCUUAUUAGUGAAUGGUGAGUGAGUGAUACUGAUAUAUUUGGUUGUUUCUCAAUAUUCUUUCUUUGCUAUAUUAAUGGUUAUCUGCAAG